Molecule: ribosomal RNA, 63 nt
Filed under: Amanita sp. 'Arora_01-555'
Lineage: Eukaryota; Fungi; Basidiomycota; Agaricomycetes; Agaricales; Amanitaceae
Description: Amanita sp. 'sp-Arora_01-555' partial 28S ribosomal RNA
Rfam family: Eukaryotic large subunit ribosomal RNA
Source: RNAcentral
UUGACCUCAAAUCAGGUAGGAUUACCCGCUGAACUUAAGCAUAUCAAUAAGCGGAGGAAAAGA